Molecule: ribosomal RNA, 1356 nt
Filed under: Shigella boydii
Lineage: Bacteria; Pseudomonadati; Pseudomonadota; Gammaproteobacteria; Enterobacterales; Enterobacteriaceae
Description: bacterial SSU rRNA
Rfam family: Bacterial small subunit ribosomal RNA
Source: RNAcentral
AGGGGGACCUUCGGGCCUCUUGCCAUCGGAUGUGCCCAGAUGGGAUUAGCUUGUUGGUGGGGUAACGGCUCACCAAGGCGACGAUCCCUAGCUGGUCUGAGAGGAUGACCAGCCACACUGGAACUGAGACACGGUCCAGACUCCUACGGGAGGCAGCAGUGGGGAAUAUUGCACAAUGGGCGCAAGCCUGAUGCAGCCAUGCCGCGUGUAUGAAGAAGGCCUUCGGGUUGUAAAGUACUUUCAGCGGGGAGGAAGGGAGUAAAGUUAAUACCUUUGCUCAUUGACGUUAUCCGCAGAAGAAGCACCGGCUAACUCCGUGCCAGCAGCCGCGGUAAUACGGAGGGUGCAAGCGUUAAUCGGAAUUACUGGGCGUAAAGCGCACGCAGGCGGUUUGUUAAGUCAGAUGUGAAAUCCCCGGGCUCAACCUGGGAACUGCAUCUGAUACUGGCAAGCUUGAGUCUCGUAGAGGGGGGUAGAAUUCCAGGUGUAGCGGUGAAAUGCGUAGAGAUCUGGAGGAAUACCGGUGGCGAAGGCGGCCCCCUGGACGAAGACUGACGCUCAGGUGCGAAAGCGUGGGGAGCAAACAGGAUUAGAUACCCUGGUAGUCCACGCCGUAAACGAUGUCGACUUGGAGGUUGUGCCCUUGAGGCGUGGCUUCCGGAGCUAACGCGUUAAGUCGACCGCCUGGGGAGUACGGCCGCAAGGUUAAAACUCAAAUGAAUUGACGGGGGCCCGCACAAGCGGUGGAGCAUGUGGUUUAAUUCGAUGCAACGCGAAGAACCUUACCUGGUCUUGACAUCCACGGAAGUUUUCAGAGAUGAGAAUGUGCCUUCGGGAACCGUGAGACAGGUGCUGCAUGGCUGUCGUCAGCUCGUGUUGUGAAAUGUUGGGUUAAGUCCCGCAACGAGCGCAACCCUUAUCCUUUGUUGCCAGCGGUCCGGCCGGGAACUCAAAGGAGACUGCCAGUGAUAAACUGGAGGAAGGUGGGGACGACGUCAAGUCAUCAUGGCCCUUACGACCAGGGCUACACACGUGCUACAAUGGCGCAUACAAAGAGAAGCGACCUCGCGAGAGCAAGCGGACCUCAUAAAGUGCGUCGUAGUCCGGAUUGGAGUCUGCAACUCGACUCCAUGAAGUCGGAAUCGCUAGUAAUCGUGGAUCAGAAUGCCACGGUGAAUACGUUCCCGGGCCUUGUACACACCGCCCGUCACACCAUGGGAGUGGGUUGCAAAAGAAGUAGGUAGCUUAACCUUCGGGAGGGCGCUUACCACUUUGUGAUUCAUGACUGGGGUGAAGUCGUAACAAGGUAACCGUAGGGGAACCUGCGGUUGGAUCACCUCCUUACCUUAAAGAAGC